This 980-nucleotide long non-coding RNA is filed under the name Olea europaea subsp. europaea. Lineage: Eukaryota; Viridiplantae; Streptophyta; Magnoliopsida; Lamiales; Oleaceae. The record is from RNAcentral.
UUAUGAUUAAUUUAUAAUUUUUGAAAAAAUUUGGGACUAUAAUUGCAAUUAAUUCUUUAUUUUUUCUUUUCUUUUCUUUUUGUUUCAUUUCAAUGGAGGGUAAAAUCGUCAAAAGGACCUUCUGUGCAAAGAAAUGUGAAAGGUAGUGACAAAAAUGUCAAAAAUGAAAGGUAGGAAUGUUUUCAACAAUAAACUUGAAAGGUCGGGACGUUUUGUACCAAUUACCCUUUCUUCAAACUGAAAACAUGAAUAUUGAUGGUUCUAUCGACCUCUUAUAAGGACUUGUUUCAUUUCUUAAAAAUUAUAGAGAAAUCGGAUUUAUUAUUGCCAUGGAUGAAGUGAUGAAAAAGGCAAAUGAAACGGGAAUUGAAGCUGUAUUUCAAGAGAAAUGCAUAAAUCGAAGAAAUAGAAGUAGUUUGGUGAAAGUGGCAAUGAUGAGAUAAAGUAAUUAGCCGAGGAAUCUUUUAGUGUUGAAUACUUUCUUUUUAUAAUCGAUCAAGCUUGAUCUUUUCUAAGGACUUGAUUUGAAUAAUUUAAACAAUAUGAAGAGAUGUUUGGAUUUUUAUUUUAUGUGGAGAGGUUAAGGCUUGCAACCUUUCCCAAUUUGUUGAAGUCUUGUACGAAGAGGAUUUAUAUUCAUAGUUACUAAUCUUGAAGUGCUAUAUACCAACUAAAGCAACGAGAACAAUUGAAGUGCUACAACAUUUGAAGACAUUGAAUGGUUGUUUCCCAAAUGCUUAUAUUUCUUAUAAAAUUUUGUUAACCAUUCUAGUUACAAUUGCAUCCGCAGAAAGAAGUUUCUCCAAAUUGAAGUUGAUUAAGGCUUAUCUUCAAUCAACCAUGUUACAAAAAAGACUGAAUGGAUUAGCUAUGUUAUCAAUUGAAAAAAAAAAAAGAUUGAACAGCUAGAUUAUUCAAAUUUGAUUACUAUUUUUGCCUCUAAAAAUGUAAGGCGAAUGGUAAUUAAUUGAACAUUAGGA